UUAACUGCUGAGUUAAGCAACCCUGGUAUUAUUAUUAUUAUUAUUAUUAUUAUUAUUAUUGUUAUUUAAAAGUAGUUGAGUAUGGGUAGUUCACACUUGUGAUAAUCCAAAAGUAAACGACAAAAGGUUGUAGUUAUCCCCAGGAGUGAAACAGGAGGAAUUUGAAUGAAGUAAAUUUAUGAAAAUUUCUACCAUUUAAAUGAAUUGAUUUUUGUAGGUAAACUGCUUUUUACUUGUGAGCUAUUGAGUGAAUGGCUGAAAUGUAGAGCUGACUUGGAGUGAAAUAAAAGCCACUGGUAAGUACAAGCAGCAGCUGAUAUGCUACAGUCUACUGUUUGCCCUGCAAAUAGGUCUGCACUUGGGUCAGGAGCUUGGUCUUGGCAGCUCACAUAUAACCAUGAGUUAUAUAUAUAGUAACGUUAUGUAUGGAAACUUUGCUGUGUGCCAGAUACUGUGCUAAGCAUCUUUUUAUGUUCUGUCAAACAUUUGAGAGGGCAUGCAAGGAUUACUGCUAUGCCUAUUUGAAAUGUGCAAACUGGAGUGACUCUCAUUUGAAAAGCCCUAGCAGGUAGAUGUGUGCCUGUAGUUUCACAGUCAGUGGGUGGAGAGCUGGGAUUCCUGUCCCAGGUCCCCCCUCUGACUGUAUUUUCAAUCAUUCACUAAACAGACAUAAAUUUCAUUUUUAUUUCAUGUUUCUAUAGAAAGUCAAACUUCCAUAUUUUUUAUUGUAUUUUAAAUCUCUCUUUGUCUCUCUGUGCACACGUGCGUGUGAUAUGUAUAUGUGGGUGCAAAUGCUGACGCUCAUAUGUGAGGGUUAGAGAUCAGCUUUGGAGUGGCUUCUCUCCUUUCACCUUGUGUUUUGGUGAUCAACUAAUUUUUUUUUAAAAGAAUUAUUUAUUAUAUGUAAGUAUACUGUAGCUGUCUUCAGACACUCCAGAAGAGGGCGCCAGAUCUCGUUACGGAUGGUUGUGAGCCACCAUGUAGUUGCUGGAAUUUGAACUCAGGACCUUCAGAGGAGUAGUUGGUGCUCUUAACCACUGAGCCAUCUCACCAGCCCCCCCCCCCCUCAACUAAUUUUUAUCCUCUGAACCAUUUUGGCUGUUAUUGAACCUGUUAUUGUUUUGAGACAGGGUCUUAUUCUGUGGGCCAGCUUAGCCUGAAACUGUAAUCCAUGCCUUAAGCUUGAGGUGACGUUUCUACAUCUGCCUUCUGAGUUCUAUGGCCAGCCCUGGCUGUCCUGGAACGCACUCAGUCCACCAGACUGGCCUCCACUGCAAGGUGAUCCUUGGAAGCCCCUGCUUCCCAAAUGGUGGGAUUGCAGGUGUGCACCGCCAUCACAGGCUAUCCCAGAUCCCCAAGAGGAAAAGCGUGCCAAAACAGAGACAGAAGUUGAAGUUUCUGGAGGCUUUGAACUCCCAAGGACCACCUCCAUGAUGUACAUCCUUCAGCAAGACUACACCUCCUAAACCUCCCCAAACAAUGUCACCAAGUGGAGACCAAGGGUUGAAAGCUCAUGAGACAUUCCUCAUUCAGAAAUCACAGUAGCUAAGCCUGGCCCUCCUUUAAUUUACACUCAUCCGCGGUGGAACAAGAUAAUCCAAAACAAAGCCUAUUUUAUAAUAAACUUAAAAAGAAAGGAUUUAUUUAUUUGUUUUAUUUAUGUGAGUACACUGUUGCUGUCUUCAG
This is a long non-coding RNA of Mus musculus (house mouse), 1686 nucleotides long. RefSeq annotates it as predicted gene, 42253. Lineage: Eukaryota; Metazoa; Chordata; Mammalia; Rodentia; Muridae. The transcript is spliced from 3 exons. The record is from RefSeq and is a predicted model, not a curated record.